This 301-nucleotide ribosomal RNA is filed under the name uncultured bacterium. RNAcentral's name for it is "partial 16S ribosomal RNA". It matches the Rfam family "Bacterial small subunit ribosomal RNA", at positions 509 to 807 of the family's 1533-position model. The record is from RNAcentral.
CAGUAGCCGCGGUAAAACGAAGGGUGCAAGCGUCAAUCGGAAUUACUGGGCGUAAAGCGUGCGUAGGCGGUGAGUUAAGUCUGCUGUGAAAUCCCCGGGCUCAGCCUGGGAAUGGCAGUGGAUACUGGCUCGCUAGAGUGUGUCAGAGGAUAGUGGAAUUUCCGGUGUAGCAGUGAAAUGCGUAGAGAUCGGAAGGAACAUCUGUGGCGAAGGCGACUAUCUGGGCCAACACUGACACUGAGGCACGAAAGCGUGGGGAGCAAACAGGAUUAGAUACCCCAGUAGUCCCUGUCUCUUAUAC